CGUUAAGAAGCUAUGAAACAGCACUAGCCUUUUAAGCUAGAGACAGAGGAUAUUCCCUCCUUAACGA
Molecule: transfer RNA, 67 nt
Filed under: Troglodytes troglodytes (Eurasian wren)
Lineage: Eukaryota; Metazoa; Chordata; Aves; Passeriformes; Certhiidae
Also listed under: 1 other name
Description: tRNA-Lys
Rfam family: tRNA
About the family: Transfer RNA (tRNA) molecules are approximately 80 nucleotides in length. Their secondary structure includes four short double-helical elements and three loops (D, anti-codon, and T loops). Further hydrogen bonds mediate the characteristic L-shaped molecular structure. tRNAs have two regions of fundamental functional importance: the anti-codon, which is responsible for specific mRNA codon recognition, and the 3' end, to which the tRNAs corresponding amino acid is attached (by aminoacyl-tRNA synthetases). tRNAs cope with the degeneracy of the genetic code in two manners: having more than one tRNA (with a specific anti-codon) for a particular amino acid; and 'wobble' base-pairing, i.e. permitting non-standard base-pairing at the 3rd anti-codon position.
Source: RNAcentral